CCUCGGGGGCAGCAGUGGGGAAUAUUGGACAAUGGGCGAAAGCCUGAUCCAGCCAUGCCGCGUGUGUGAAGAAGGCCUUCGGGUUGUAAAGCACUUUCAGUGGGGAAGAAAGCCUUGGGGCUAAUACCCUCGAGGAAGGACAUCACCCACAGAAGAAGCACCGGCUAACUCCGUGCCAGCAGCCGCGGUAAUACGGAGGGUGCGAGCGUUAAUCGGAAUUACUGGGCGUAAAGCGCGCGUAGGCGGUCUGAUAAGCCGGUUGUGAAAGCCCCGGGCUCAACCUGGGAACGGCAUCCGGAACUGUCAGGCUAGAGUGCAGGAGAGGAAGGUAGAAUUCCCGGUGUAGCGGUGAAAUGCGUAGAGAUCGGGAGGAAUACCAGUGGCGAAGGCGGCCUUCUGGACUGACACUGACGCUGAGGUGCGAAAGCGUGGGUAGCAAACAGGAUUAGAUACCCCAGUAGUC
Molecule: ribosomal RNA, 463 nt
Filed under: Vreelandella stevensii
Lineage: Bacteria; Pseudomonadati; Pseudomonadota; Gammaproteobacteria; Oceanospirillales; Halomonadaceae
Description: partial 16S ribosomal RNA
Rfam family: Bacterial small subunit ribosomal RNA
Source: RNAcentral